GGAUGUGAGUGCUGACCUGGCUGGCUAGGCCCGUGUCCCCUUCCUGCCUCACUGCCCUACAUGCGUCCCUCCUGAAGCUGCACACUUGGUCAAAGAGGACAGCCAUCCCCGACAGAGGAGGACCCAUCUUUGGUCAAGCAUACGAAUAGCUGUGCUCUCUGUUAGAAUCUCUAAGCCUGCUCUCGAAAAAGAGACGCAGCAAGGUUCUAUCCCCGGGUCAGGAAGAUCCCCUGGAGGA
This 238-nucleotide small RNA is filed under the name Capra hircus (goat). RNAcentral's name for it is "7SK RNA (ENSCHIG00000004549.1)". It matches the Rfam family "7SK RNA", at positions 51 to 266 of the family's 331-position model. Rfam says of the family: 7SK was discovered as an abundant small nuclear RNA in the mid-70s but a possible function has only recently been suggested. Two independent studies have found that 7SK RNA binds the CDK9/cyclin T complex (known as elongation factor P-TEFb). P-TEFb activates transcription by phosphorylating the C-terminal domain of RNA polymerase II. The record is from RNAcentral. Lineage: Eukaryota; Metazoa; Chordata; Mammalia; Artiodactyla; Bovidae.